GGUAAGGUGGCUGAAUAAGUAUUAGACUGUAAAUCUAAGGAUAGAGGUAAAACUCCUCUUCUUACCA
This 67-nucleotide transfer RNA is filed under the name Smutsia gigantea (giant pangolin). RNAcentral's name for it is "Manis gigantea (giant pangolin) tRNA-Tyr". It matches the Rfam family "tRNA". From Rfam's summary of the family: Transfer RNA (tRNA) molecules are approximately 80 nucleotides in length. Their secondary structure includes four short double-helical elements and three loops (D, anti-codon, and T loops). Lineage: Eukaryota; Metazoa; Chordata; Mammalia; Pholidota; Manidae. The record is from RNAcentral.